UACGUAGGGCGCAAGCGUUGUCCGGAAUUAUUGGGCGUAAAGAGCUCGUAGGCGGUCUGUCGCGUCGGAUGUGAAAGCCCGGGGCUUAACCCCGGGUCUGCAUUCGAUACGGGCAGACUAGAGUGUGGUAGGGGAAAUCGGAAUUCCUGGUGUAGCGGUGAAAUGCGCAGAUAUCAGGAGGAACACCGGUGGCGAAGGCGGAUCUCUGGGCCAUUACUGACGCUGAGGAGCGAAAGCGUGGGGAGCGAACAGG
This 253-nucleotide ribosomal RNA is filed under the name uncultured bacterium. RNAcentral describes it as "partial 16S ribosomal RNA". It matches the Rfam family "Bacterial small subunit ribosomal RNA", at positions 524 to 776 of the family's 1533-position model. The record is from RNAcentral.